AAGUCGUAACAAGGUUUCCGUAGGUGAACCUGCGGAAGGAUCAUUAACAAAUUCAAACACACACACACAUGAUCCGAAAGACACUUCUUCUCUUAUGGAGGGGAAGACUUUUGGUAUCUAUACAUCAUUCUUAAAUAUAUAUACAAUCAAUUACCAAGACGUGAGGAAACUCAUGCAAAAAGAUCUAAUGGUAAACAACUUUUAACAAUGGAUCUCUUGGCUCUUGCAA
RNAcentral lists this unclassified non-coding RNA (229 nucleotides) under fungal sp. RNAcentral's name for it is "partial internal transcribed spacer region". The stretch from base 1 to 46 matches the Rfam family "Eukaryotic small subunit ribosomal RNA", at positions 1786 to 1831 of the family's 1831-position model. The record is from RNAcentral. Lineage: Eukaryota; Fungi.